RNAcentral lists this ribosomal RNA (544 nucleotides) under uncultured bacterium. RNAcentral describes it as "bacterial SSU rRNA". It matches the Rfam family "Bacterial small subunit ribosomal RNA", at positions 356 to 890 of the family's 1533-position model. The record is from RNAcentral.
CCGGAAUAUUGGACAAUGGGCGCAAGCCUGAUCCAACCAUGCCGCGUGUGUGAAGAAGGCCUUCGGGUUGUAAAGCACUUUUGUUCGGGAAGAAAAGCUACCGGUUAAUACCCGGGAGUCAUGACGGUACCGAAAGAAUAAGCACCGGCUAACUUCGUGCCAGCAGCCGCGGUAAUACGAAGGGUGCAAGCGUUACUCGGAAUUACUGGGCGUAAAGCGUGCGUAGGUGGUGCGUUAAGUCUGUCGUGAAAGCCCCGGGCUCAACCUGGGAAUGGCGAUGGAUACUGGCGCGCUAGAGUGCGGUAGAGGAGAGUGGAAUUCCCGGUGUAGCAGUGAAAUGCGUAGAGAUCGGGAGGAACAUCAGUUGCGAAGGCGGCUCUCUGGACCAACACUGACACUGAGGCACGAAAGCGUGGGGAGCAAACAGGAUUAGAAACCCUGGUAGUCCACGCCCUAAACGAUGCGAACUGGACGUUGGGAGCAACUAGGCUCUCAGUGUCGAAGCUAACGCGUUAAGUUCGCCGCCUGGGGAGUACCGGUCGCA